Molecule: ribosomal RNA, 253 nt
Filed under: uncultured bacterium
Lineage: Bacteria
Description: partial 16S ribosomal RNA
Rfam family: Bacterial small subunit ribosomal RNA
Source: RNAcentral
UACGGAGGGUGCAAGCGUUGUCCGGAUUUAUUGGGUUUAAAGGGCGCGUAGGCGGCCUGCUAAGUCGAACGUGAAAUCCCCGGGCUCAACCCGGGAACUGCGUUCGAUACUGGCAGGCUUGAAUCCGGGAGAGGGAUGUGGAAUUCCAGGUGUAGCGGUGAAAUGCGUAGAUAUCUGGAGGAACACCGGUGGCGAAGGCGGCAUCCUGGACCGGUAUUGACGCUGAUGCGCGAAAGCCAGGGGAGCAAACGGG